AGCUAUUUACUCUGAGCUGGUGGGAGACACAAAGUCAAAGAAACAUGAGCAUUCAGAAAUUCAAAAGUGUUUUUCCUACCAAUUCCACUUUGGCCAGCUCCACACUUACAGAUGAAAUGAAGCAACUCAAUAAGAAUCCUCUUAACAUCCCUUGAAUAUCAAAGUGUAACUUUGAAAAUGGUUUUAAAUGUCACAGGUACCCUGAUCCACCCAGUCAAUCUACCCAGACACAGUGUGGGCAAUGAAAUGUUACCUUCUGUUGUAAGGAAAGUGGCUGAGAACAUUCCCCAGCCCACUGCAUGCUCAGGCUACA
RNAcentral lists this long non-coding RNA (313 nucleotides) under Parus major (Great Tit). RNAcentral describes it as "lncRNA (ENSPMJG00000010148.1)". The record is from RNAcentral. Lineage: Eukaryota; Metazoa; Chordata; Aves; Passeriformes; Paridae.